AGUGAACGCUGGCGGUAGGCCUAACACAUGCAAGUCGAACGGCAGCACAGUAAGAGCUUGCUCUUACGGGUGGCGAGUGGCGGACGGGUGAGGAAUACAUCGGAAUCUACUUUUUCGUGGGGGAUAACGUAGGGAAACUUACGCUAAUACCGCAUACGACCUACGGGUGAAAGCAGGGGAUCUUCGGACCUUGCGCGGUUGAAUGAGCCGAUGUCGGAUUAGCUAGUUGGCGGGGUAAAGGCCCACCAAGGCGACGAUCCGUAGCUGGUCUGAGAGGAUGAUCAGCCACACUGGAACUGAGACACGGUCAAGACUCCUACGGGAGGCAGCAGUGGGGAAUAUUGGACAAUGGGCGCAAGCCUGAUCCAGCCAUACCGCGUGGGUGAAGAAGGCCUUCGGGUUGUAAAGCCCUUUUGUUGGGAAAGAAAAGCAGCAGGUUAAUACCCCGCUGUUCUGACGGUACCCAAAGAAUAAGCACCGGCUAACUUCGUG
RNAcentral lists this ribosomal RNA (492 nucleotides) under uncultured bacterium. RNAcentral describes it as "partial 16S ribosomal RNA". It matches the Rfam family "Bacterial small subunit ribosomal RNA", at positions 29 to 507 of the family's 1533-position model. The record is from RNAcentral.